Molecule: ribosomal RNA, 478 nt
Filed under: uncultured bacterium
Lineage: Bacteria
Description: partial 16S ribosomal RNA
Rfam family: Bacterial small subunit ribosomal RNA
Source: RNAcentral
GACGAACGCUGGCGGCGUGCUUAACACAUGCAAGUCGAACGGUAAGGCCCUUCGGGGUACACGAGUGGCGAACGGGUGAGUAACACGUGGGUGAUCUGCCCUGCACUUCGGGAUAAGCCUGGGAAACUGGGUCUAAUACCGGAUAGGACUCCGGACUGCAUGGUCUGGGGUGGAAAGCUUUUGCGGUGUGGGAUGGGCCCGCGGCCUAUCAGCUUGUUGGUGGGGUGAUGGCCUACCAAGGCGACGACGGGUAGGCGGCCUGAGAGGGUGACCAGCGACACAGGGAGUGGGAUACGGCCCAGACGUCUACGGGGGGGAGCAGUGGGGAAUAUUGCACAAUGCGCGCAAGCCUGAUGCAGCGACGCCGCGUGAGGGAUGACGGCCUUCGGGUUGUAAACCUCUUUCAGCACCGACGAGGCGCAAGUGACGGUAGGUGCAGAAGAAGGACCGGCCAACUACGUGCCAGCCGCCGCCGUAA